GUGGAUUAGAUACCCUAGUAGUCCCAGCCGUAAACGAUGUCCACCAGGUGCCGGGCGGAUCGACCCGUUCGGUGCCGCAGCUUACGUGAUGAGUGGACCGCCUGGGGAGUACGGCCGCAAGGUUGAAACUCAAAGGAAUUGACGGGGGCCCGCACAAGCAGCGGAGUGUGUGGUUUAAUUCGAUGCGACGCGAAGCACCUUACCUGGGCUUGACAUGCAGAGGCGCCAGGGGUAACGCCCUGUCUCCUUCGGGAGCCUCUGCACAGGUGCUGCACGGCUGUCGUCAACU
This 289-nucleotide ribosomal RNA is filed under the name uncultured bacterium. RNAcentral's name for it is "partial 16S ribosomal RNA". It matches the Rfam family "Bacterial small subunit ribosomal RNA", at positions 773 to 1060 of the family's 1533-position model. The record is from RNAcentral.